UGGGGGAUAUUGCACAAUGGGCGAAAGCCUGAUGCAGCGACGCCGCGUGGGGGAUGAAGGCCUUCGGGUUGUAAACUUCUUUUGCUCUGAACAAGGCAUGCUAAUGGGUGUGUUGAGUGUAGGGGUUGAUUAGCGCCGGCUAACUACGUGCCAGCAGCCGCGGUAAUACGUAGGGCGCGAGCGUUGUCCGGAAUUAUUGGGCGUAAAGGGCUUGUAGGUGGCUGGUUGCGUCUGUCGUGAAAGCUCAUGGCUUAACUGUGGGUUUGCGGUGGGUACGGGCUGGCUUGAGUGCAGUAGGGGAGGCUGGAAUUCCUGGUGUAGCGGUGGAAUGCGCAGAUAUCAGGAGGAAUACCGGUGGCGAAGGCGGGUCUCUGGGCUGUUACUGACACUGAGGAGCGAAAGCAUGGGGAGCGAACAGGA
This 420-nucleotide ribosomal RNA is filed under the name bacterium. RNAcentral's name for it is "partial 16S ribosomal RNA". It matches the Rfam family "Bacterial small subunit ribosomal RNA", at positions 355 to 777 of the family's 1533-position model. The record is from RNAcentral.